AUGAACGCUGGCGGCGUGCCUAAUACCUGCAAGUCGAGCGAACAGACGAGGAGCUUGCUCCUCUGACGUUAGCGGCGGACGGGUGAGUAACACGUGGAUAACCUACCUAUAAGACUGGGAUAACUUCGGGAAACCGGAGCUAAUACCGGAUAACAUGUUGAACCGCAUGGUUCAACAGUGAAAGACGGUUUUGCUGUCACUUAUAGAUGGAUCCGCGCCGCAUUAGCUAGUUGGUAAGGUAACGGCUUACCAAGGCAACGAUGCGUAGCCGACCUGAGAGGGUGAUCGGCCACACUGGAACUGAGACACGGUCCAGACUCCUACGGGAGGCAGCAGUAGGGAAUCUUCCGCAAUGGGCGAAAGCCUGACGGAGCAACGCCGCGUGAGUGAAGAAGGUCUUCGGAUCGUAAAACUCUGUUAUUAGGGAAGAACAAAUGUGUAAGUAACUAUGCACGUCUUGACGGUACCUAAUCAGAAAGCCACGGCUAACUACGUG
This 496-nucleotide ribosomal RNA is filed under the name uncultured bacterium. RNAcentral describes it as "partial 16S ribosomal RNA". It matches the Rfam family "Bacterial small subunit ribosomal RNA", at positions 29 to 507 of the family's 1533-position model. The record is from RNAcentral.